UGGACUUGCUCCCUGAUGUUACGGCGGNGGGUGAGUACACGUGGGUACCUGCCUGUAAGACUGGGAUAACUCCGGGAAACCGGGGCUAAUACCGGAUGCUUGUUUGAACCGCAUGGUUCAAACAUAAAAGGUGGCUUCGGCUACCACUUACAGAUGGACCCGCGGCGCAUUAGCUAGUUGGUGAGGUAAUGGCUCACCAAGGCAACGAUGCGUAGCCGACCUGAGAGGGUGAUCGGCCACACUGGGACUGAGACACGGCCCAGACUCCUACGGGAGGCAGCAGUAGGGAAUCUUCCGCAAUGGACGAAAGUCUGACGGAGCAACGCCGCGUGAGUGAUGAAGGUUUUCGGAUCGUAAAGCUCUGUUGUUAGGGAAGAACAAGUACCGUUCGAAUAGGGCGGUACCUUGACGGUACCUAACCAGAAAGCCACGGCUAACUACGUGCCAGCAGCCGCGGUAAUACGUAGGUGGCAAGCGUUGUCCG
Molecule: ribosomal RNA, 484 nt
Filed under: Bacillus subtilis
Lineage: Bacteria; Bacillati; Bacillota; Bacilli; Caryophanales; Bacillaceae
Description: bacterial SSU rRNA
Rfam family: Bacterial small subunit ribosomal RNA
Source: RNAcentral